RNAcentral lists this transfer RNA (64 nucleotides) under unidentified. Its description in RNAcentral is "Spelaeomysis bottazzii tRNA-Leu". The record is from RNAcentral.
UCUAAUAUAGUAUUAAGAAAAACAUAAAAUUUAGGAUUUUAAGAUAGAUAUUAUCUUAUUAGAA